Molecule: ribosomal RNA, 488 nt
Filed under: Kronopolites acuminatus
Lineage: Eukaryota; Metazoa; Arthropoda; Diplopoda; Polydesmida; Paradoxosomatidae
Description: partial 16S ribosomal RNA
Rfam family: Archaeal large subunit ribosomal RNA
Source: RNAcentral
AAAGACAUUGUCUAUUGAUAAAAGAAUAGGUAAUUUCUGCCCACUGCGGUAAGUAAAGGGCUGCAGUAUUUUGACUGUAUAAAGGUAGCAUAAUCAUUAGUUUUUUAAUUUGAGACUGGUAUGAAGAGAUUACAUGGAGGUGAUGUAUUGUAAUAAGAUCAUUGAAUUUGAUUGUUUUGUGAAAAAUCAAAAAUUAGCUUAAGGGACAAGAAGACCCUAAAAAGUUUUAUUUGUAGAGUAAUGCGUAUAGAGGGUUAUUAGUACAACUUAUAAAUAUUAGUUUAAUUGGGGCGAUGGGUAAAUUAACAUUAUCUUAUAUUUAAUUUUGUUAAAACAUUGAGCAGACCUAAUUGGGUUAGUUGGAAGGAAAAUUACUUUAGGGAUAACAGCGUUAUCGUUUUAGAGAGUUCAAAUCGACAGAACGGAUUGCGACCUCGAUGUUGGAUUAAGAUAAACGGUGGUGAAGUAGUCGUCAUUUUGUCGUNGAC